GGUUCAAUUCCGGAGAGGGAGCCUGAGAAACGGCUACCACAUCUAAGGAAGGCAGCAGGCGCGCAAAUUACCCAAUUCUAACAGCAUAAGAGAGGUAGUGACAAGAAAUAACAGUACAAGGCAGUUAAAAUGCUUUGUAAUUGGAAUGAUAGAAAUUUAAAUACUUUUUAAAGUAUCAAUUGGAGGGCAAGUCUGGUGCCAGCAGCCGCGGUAAUUCCAGCUCCAAUAGCGUAUAUUAAAAUUGUUGCAGUUAAAAAGCUCGUAGUUGAAUUUUUGCUAAAAAUAACCGGUCUGCUUUUAUUAAUAAAAGUGGUAUCUUGGUGUGUUUUUAGCAAUAAUGUCCUUUGAAAUGUUUUUUACUUUAUUGUAAAAAGCAAUUUUCAGGAUUUUUACUUUGAGAAAAUUAGAGUGUUUCAAGCAGGCUAACGUUUUGAAUACUGCAGCAUGGAAUAAUAAAAUAGGAUUUUAGUUCUACGUUAUUGGUUUUAAGAACUAAAUUAAUGAUUGAUAGGAGCAGUUGGGGGCAUUUGUAUUUAA
This 537-nucleotide ribosomal RNA is filed under the name Hepatozoon sp. DJH-2015a. RNAcentral's name for it is "bacterial SSU rRNA". It matches the Rfam family "Eukaryotic small subunit ribosomal RNA", at positions 374 to 901 of the family's 1831-position model. Lineage: Eukaryota; Apicomplexa; Hepatozoidae. The record is from RNAcentral.